GACGAACGCUGGCGGCGUGCUUAACACAUUCAAGUCGAACGGAAAGGCCCUGCUUUUGUGGGGUGCUCGAGUGGCGAACGGGUGAGUAACACGUGAGUAACCUGCCCUUGACUUUGGGAUAACUUCAGGAAACUGGGGCUAAUACCGGAUAGGAGCUCCUGCUGCAUGGUGGGGGUUGGAAAGUUUCGGCGGUUGGGGAUGGACUCGCGGCUUAUCAGCUUGUUGGUGGGGUAGUGGCUUACCAAGGCUUUGACGAGUAGCCGGCCUGAGAGGGUGACCGGCCACAUUGGGACUGAGAUACGGCCCAGACUCCUACGGGAGGCAGCAGUGGGGAAUAUUGCACAAUGGGCGGAAGCCUGAUGCAGCAACGCCGCGUGCGGGAUGACGGCCUUCGGGUUGUAAACCGCUUUCGCCUGUGACGAAGCGUGAGUGACGGUAAUGGGUAAAGAAGCACCGGCUAACUACGUG
This 468-nucleotide ribosomal RNA is filed under the name uncultured bacterium. RNAcentral describes it as "partial 16S ribosomal RNA". It matches the Rfam family "Bacterial small subunit ribosomal RNA", at positions 28 to 507 of the family's 1533-position model. The record is from RNAcentral.